UCUGGACCUGCUGUCAGCUGCUGAGAAGGAGGAAGUUGGAGGAGGAAGAGACUGCCUCCGGAUGUAGAGACCCUGUCUGCCGUGGAAGCUGCCUGACCGCAAGGACGCCUGACGACGGAGAGCCUCAUCCAUGAAGCCUGGAGACCUGGAACUCACCUGAAGCUGGGACACUCUGCAGAUGAAGUCAUCAGUGGUGUGAAAUGAACUGCAGCUUCCUCCUGUUUGGAGGAUGGAUGGAAGCUGAAGAGGAAACAGAGAACCCAAAGCUGACCUUUGACCUCCCCAACACCCUAACUCUGGUGUUGGUGUUCAGCAGUUAGCAGGAGAUGUGUCGUCUUCUGCCCCCUGGGGUUCCGGCUGCCCCUCUACAGCUCUUUGCUUCCAAGACAACCAGGUUGUGGUGACGGGCAGGACAUCAGCUUCCUGCGGCCGGCGCCUUCGCACGAAUCGAAGCAGCAGAAACAAG
This is a long non-coding RNA of Poeciliopsis prolifica (blackstripe livebearer), 466 nucleotides long. RefSeq lists it as uncharacterized. The transcript has 4 exons. The record is from RefSeq and is a predicted model, not a curated record. Lineage: Eukaryota; Metazoa; Chordata; Actinopteri; Cyprinodontiformes; Poeciliidae.